RNAcentral lists this ribosomal RNA (445 nucleotides) under uncultured bacterium. RNAcentral describes it as "partial 16S ribosomal RNA". It matches the Rfam family "Bacterial small subunit ribosomal RNA", at positions 331 to 793 of the family's 1533-position model. The record is from RNAcentral.
CCAGACUCCUACGGGAGGCAGCAGUGGGGAAUAUUGGACAAUGGGGGGAACCCUGAUCCAGCGACGCCGCGUGAGUGAAGAAGUAUUUCGGUAUGUAAAGCUCUAUCAGCAGGGAAGAAAAUGACGGUACCUGACUAAGAAGCCCCGGCUAACUACGUGCCAGCAGCCGCGGUAAUACGUAGGGGGCAAGCGUUAUCCGGAUUUACUGGGUGUAAAGGGAGCGUAGACGGCAUGGCAAGUCAGAUGUGAAAGCCCGGGGCUCAACCCCGGGACUGCAUUUGAAACUGUCAGGCUGGAGUGCAGGAGGGGCAGGCGGAAUUCCUAGUGUAGCGGUGAAAUGCGUAGAUAUUAGGAGGAACACCAGUGGCGAAGGCGGCCUGCUGGACUGCAACUGACGUUGAGGCUCGAAGGCGUGGGGAGCAAACAGGAUUAGAUACCCUCGUAC